Molecule: ribosomal RNA, 326 nt
Filed under: Ceroplastes ceriferus
Lineage: Eukaryota; Metazoa; Arthropoda; Insecta; Hemiptera; Coccidae
Description: partial 28S ribosomal RNA
Source: RNAcentral
GGACAGAGCCCGUGAAUCCGGGCGCGCGGAAUUCAGGACCGACGCGGCGGACGCGUUCGCGCGCGUUCGUCGGGUCGAUUCGAUAUUUCCGCCGCCGACCCUCGACCGAGGGUGUCGGACGUCGCGACCCGUUCGCCACGAGUCGAUGCUCAGGGACGCGUUUUCAGUUCGCCAGCGCGGCCGUCUUGCGGCGGUCGCGCGACGACGACGCGUUUCCGUUGUUUUCGACGCGGACGGUAGCUUUGCGCGCGGGUAUUCGACGCGGCCCCUUCGCUCGGCGUUUUCGUGCGCCGAGCGGCGCUCGCGUCGACGCCGGUCAGCGACGA